RNAcentral lists this ribosomal RNA (305 nucleotides) under uncultured bacterium. RNAcentral's name for it is "bacterial SSU rRNA". It matches the Rfam family "Bacterial small subunit ribosomal RNA", at positions 336 to 658 of the family's 1533-position model. The record is from RNAcentral.
UUCCUACGGGGGGCAGCAGUGGGGGAUAUUGCACAAUGGAGGAAACUCUGAUGCAGCGACGCCGCGUGAGGGAAGACGGUCUUCGGAUUGUAAACCUCUGUCUUUGGGGAAGAAAAUGACGGUACCCAAAGAGGAAGCUCCGGCUAACUACGUGCCAGCAGCCGCGGUAAUACGUAGGGAGCGAGCGUUGUCCGGAUUUACUGGGUGUAAAGGGUGCGUAGGCGGCUUGGCAAGUCAGUAGUGAAAUCCAUGGGCUUAACCCAUGAACUGCUAUUGAAACUGUCGAGCUUGAGUGAAGUAGAGGG